Long non-coding RNA from Diachasmimorpha longicaudata, 1513 nucleotides. RefSeq lists it as uncharacterized. The record is from RefSeq and is a predicted model, not a curated record. The transcript is spliced from 3 exons. Lineage: Eukaryota; Metazoa; Arthropoda; Insecta; Hymenoptera; Braconidae.
GUACACGUAGAGUGCUGGUACGCGUGUGGAUUCAUUUAGCGGAAACCCAUGAAUAAUUUAGAAAUUGCAAUCUACUACUCCAACACUGCAUUCAGACAAUUCAUAUCGGGCUCUCUCACCUCCGUCCACUUCGUCCCUGGUUUCAAUUUCCCAGAAUGCACCUGACUCUUCCACUCCAGCAUUUCGACGCAAUUUUUUCCGAGCUCAGGAUAACGAAAAUUGAUUAAUAGAGGAAGUCCCUGAAUUUGAAUUCUCAUUACAAGAGAAUAGAACAGGUCAAUUGAAAAGAAAGCCGAUAAGACACGAUUCCACGUGUUGAAUAACUUCGAGUUCCCUGGGACUCCUAAACCGGUUUCGGGGUCGUUUUUCCUGUCACUUCGUUUCACUGCGUUACGCUUGAGUUAUUUGAAUUCUUAACUGGCUGACGAUCACGCUAAACACUUGGAUAGUUAGCGGUGAUAUCACGACUCUGCUUGGUUUUUCCCGCAGGAUUUUUUUUUGUUAACACAAAAAAAAAAUCACUGAUAAUUUCAAUGUUUGAAUUACAAUUCUUAAGAUUUUUUUUAACAUCAACAAUGUUUCAUAAGGUUCCGAUAAAAAAUACCAGGGCAUAACAUAUAAGUCAAUUCACAUAUAAAAAAUGUCCCUGAAAUUCCUAGUGAGAUUGUUAGCCAAUUCCAUUGGGUUUUCUAAAUUUUUUAUGAUUUUUUCUAUUGUGAAGGUAACUUCGAUAAUAUUUGACGUUUAAUCAAAUCUUGUUGAUCCAAAUUGAGUCUGAUAUUUAGGUUUAGUGAAAUCCUCCUAAAAAUAGUCUUUAAAUUCACCAUAACUGACUUCCUCACCUUCGCUAAUUCAAUUAUAUUUGUCCAUCAUCACAUGAUGAACAUUACCCUCCGACCUUUUUCUCACAUGCAAUAACCCCCCAUCAUCUGAUAUCAUUGUCAACAAUUACCCGGAUCGUGAGGCUAUCUCCGACCAUUCACUAAUUGAACCGGACAUUGAUCCCUGACAUAUCCUAUUAAUUCUCAGUCUAGCAAUAAAUUUAGCUGACUUUUUUAUAUCAGUCACCCAGUUUUUGCUCCACCUUUUAGUACAGUGAUACACGAGACAGGGAGAGAGAGGGAUGGAAAACGGGUCAUCGUGACGUGAUAGAAGAGUAAAAAUGAACGAAUAAGCAAAUAAUUUAGCAUUUUCCAAGCACGAUCGACCUUGGUACGCGACACGCAUCUUUUACAUUCUCCCUUCUUGCUUUCUUCGUCUCUCUGUCCCAUGUGGGUCAGCCGAAAAAACCGUACGAUGAACCCGCCACUAUUUCAGAAUGUCAUCGAGAGGUGGGUUGGAAGGCGAUUAGAGCAGAGCUAUGAAGCACUGUUAGAGAGAAAAAUGAACUCAUAGAUAGUUGAUGAUCAAUAAAAGAUUUUGAAAAUUCAGGAAAAUCCAGAAUUUUAAGGCGUGAUCGGUUUAAUUUAUUCAUUCGAAUUUUAAAUCUGUCAUAAACAUUCAGUUGCUAAUU